RNAcentral lists this non-coding RNA (26 nucleotides) under Homo sapiens (human). The record is from RNAcentral. Lineage: Eukaryota; Metazoa; Chordata; Mammalia; Primates; Hominidae.
UGGGGAAUUGCUCAUCCUCCAGUUGA